GUGCUUGUUUGUCAGAACAUAUACUAAAAUUGGAAUGAUACAGAGAUUAGCAUGUCUCCUGAGCAACGAUGAAAUACAAAUUCAUGAAGCAUUCCAUAUUUUA
Molecule: small nuclear RNA, 103 nt
Organism: Trichechus manatus latirostris (Florida manatee)
Lineage: Eukaryota; Metazoa; Chordata; Mammalia; Sirenia; Trichechidae
Source: RefSeq, a predicted model, not a curated record